Long non-coding RNA from Heterocephalus glaber (naked mole-rat), 569 nucleotides. RefSeq lists it as uncharacterized. NCBI's taxonomy places the organism in Eukaryota, Metazoa, Chordata, Mammalia, Rodentia, Bathyergidae. The record is from RefSeq and is a predicted model, not a curated record.
CAGGCUCGGGUACAGAGCUCCCAGCUGCGCCUCCCUGCAGCCGGGUCUGGGAGCCUGGCUCUGAACCCCAGGCUCACGCAGGGAGGUUUAAGUGGCCUGUGGUCAGGCAUGGCCGGAAAAUAAUAAUGGGAAAUUCCAGAAACCAACAAUCCCUCAGUUUGGAAUUGAAGGCCGUUCUGAGUCUAGUGAUGAAAUCUAAGCCACCUGCUCCAUCCUGCCUGGGACAUGAACUGUCCCUUUGUCCAGUGGAUCCACACCAUCAACACUACCCGCUGGUCAUCAGCGGCCACCAGAGCGGUCGACCCGGUCCACAGCUGCUUGCGUUCAGCUCACCCUUGUUUUACUUCACAUCGGCUUCAGGGUACAAGAGCUGAGCUUGUGGCCCAGGAGUGUGUAGAGAGAAGCUGGAAAUGCUUCCAUCCAGUGAGACAGUGAAGAUCCAGGAGAUAUUCUGAGAGAGAGAAGGAGCACGUUCACAUUAUUACAGUAUGUUGCUAGGAGAACCCUGACUAACAUAAUAAUAAGAAAGGAAAAACAUCAGCUGGUGAAGCAAGGACAUCCCUUUGGUU